AACGCGAAGAACCUUACCAAGGUUUGACAUGCAGGGAAAAGCCGUAGAGAUACGGUGUCCGUAAGGGUCCUGCACAGGUGGUGCAUGGCUGUCGUCAGCUCGUGUCGUGAGAUGUUGGGUUAAGUCCCGCAACGAGCGCAACCCUUAUUCGUAGUUGCCACCCGCAAGGGGGAACUCUACGAGGACUGCUCCGGAUAACGGAGAGGAAGGUGGGGAUGACGUCAAGUCAGCAUGGCCUUUAUGUCCAGGGCUACACACGUGUUACAAUGCACGGUACAGACUGUUGCGAACCCGCGAGGGGGAGCUAAUCGGAGAAAACCGUGCUCAGUUCGGAUUGCAGUCUGCAACUCGACUGCAUGAAGCUGGAAUCGCUAGUAAUGGCGUAUCAGAUCGACGCCGUGAAUACGUUCCCGGGCCUUGUACACACCGACUGUAC
This 436-nucleotide ribosomal RNA is filed under the name uncultured bacterium. RNAcentral describes it as "bacterial SSU rRNA". It matches the Rfam family "Bacterial small subunit ribosomal RNA", at positions 958 to 1399 of the family's 1533-position model. The record is from RNAcentral.